GUCUAUGGCCAUACUACCUUGAAUCUAUCUGACCUUGUCUGAUGUCAGAAGCAAAGCAGAGUUGUGCCUGGAUGGGAGGAAUAGAAG
This 87-nucleotide ribosomal RNA is filed under the name Mesocricetus auratus (golden hamster). Lineage: Eukaryota; Metazoa; Chordata; Mammalia; Rodentia; Cricetidae. The record is from RNAcentral.